AUGUUCUGGUUCCUCUCCAGAUCACAUAAAUUUCUCACCUUUUAUUAAUACCAAAGAUUUCUGUGGAGAGGAACAACUGAGCCUUUAACUAACUGCUUGAGACUUUGUGUCUGCAGGGCU
Lemur catta (Ring-tailed lemur) is the source of this 120-nucleotide small nuclear RNA. RefSeq annotates it as U5 spliceosomal RNA. The transcript has a single exon. The record is from RefSeq and is a predicted model, not a curated record. Lineage: Eukaryota; Metazoa; Chordata; Mammalia; Primates; Lemuridae.